Suricata suricatta (meerkat) is the source of this 814-nucleotide long non-coding RNA. RefSeq lists it as uncharacterized. Lineage: Eukaryota; Metazoa; Chordata; Mammalia; Carnivora; Herpestidae. The record is from RefSeq and is a predicted model, not a curated record. The transcript is spliced from 3 exons.
GAGUGAACCUAGUACCACCUCCUUGAAAGGGGCUGAGUCCUUCUUCACCUUUGCCUUGGAAAAACCAGUUUCUCUCUCCUCUAUUGUCUGUUACCUACUUCUAAAAGUUCAACUGAAUCCCACCGUAGUCCCAGCCCUGUCUUCCAGCUAUCUCGACUCCCUCUGCUCCAGCUCCACUUUUCUCUGCUUCCUUAUGUUCUUUUUUCUUAAAGGGAGAAGGACUCUUCGGGACUGGCCCCUGCCUUCCCUCAGGAACGGGCCUGCGGGACUGGACGCUACACAGUCUGUAGAGCAAGGGUGGAUGAUAAGAAAAGGGCCUACCUUUUCUGGACUCACUAAUGUCAACGCUACCUCCCGUUUGCAUGGCCUUUCAUGGUUAAAGUGCUUUUGCAGACACUGUCACCUCUGGAGUAUGCACCCUGGAGGCUCAGAACCACACACGAGGGUGAGACUCUGCGCAUUCCGACCGAGGACUUGAGGAAUCCGGUGGACCGCACAUGUUGGGAGGAUUUCAGUGGAGUGAAGUUCAGGAGGCAUGGAGCGGACACCGCAGCAGCAGCAGCAGCAGCAGCAGCAGCAGCGAAGAGUAGUCUGACUUAGAAAACAAAAGGCCCAGGGAGGGCUGUGAGCACUGGAGGAAGACAUCUGGAGCGCAUCUCCUCCUGCAGAGGGGGUGGGUGAGGGACGAUGGGCAGAUUGCAAAAAAACACACCACAGAUGGGAGCCGCUCAUUCCUUCUCGUCUCAAAUGGAUGCUCUGGAAAUGUGUGUCUUCUGUACCUUAUAAAAAUUAAAAGUUGUCUGUCUGCUGGAAA